CUGGGAGGCUCAGUGGGUUAAGGCCUCUGCCUUCGGCUCAGGUCAUGAUCCCAGAGUCCUGGGAUGGAGCCCCAUAUCGGGCUCUCUGCUCAGCAGGGAGGCUGCUUCAUCCUCUCUCUCAGCCUGCUUCUCUGCCUACCUGUGAUCUCCACCUGUCAAAUAGUUUAGCCUUUGGAUUUCUCGAAGCCCUGAGAAAGAUGUCCCGUGGAGUUGGGGUUCUGUCGUGGUUCACACUGUAUCACCUCAUUGCACAGGAAGUCUCUUGAGGUUGGCAGUUAGUGCCGAUCUAACCCAUUCUGUGACCAACUUGUCCUGACAAAGGGAUCUUUGGGUCAGGUGGCAUGUGCUCUAACAACUCUGAAGCAUUCACCCCAUGCCCACCAAUUUCUGUGGCUUAUUGGCCUCCAAGACCCCCCAAAGCAUGAGCCUUGACCCCAGGAGCCCAUUAACAGAAACCAAGAGAAACUGAAGAAACAGAUGUGGACACCAGCAAUACCCAGAGAACUAGGGACUGGGCAGAGGACUGGACCUGCAGACCUUAAACAAUGGGAAUGCAGAUGGUUUCCAAACAAAUGGACAAUGGCGGUCACCAGCAGCUCCCAGCAUGGCAUCUGAGGACAGAAGCAAGGGCUGGGGUUUAGACAACACUGCAUACAGGCCCGUAGCAAGGCCCUGUGCACCACCAGCAACUCCACAGGCAGACUUGGGGAUGUCAGAUUAGACCUGGGGCAAGAAGUUCCAAACAACCAGGGACCUGCAAACCGAACCAAGGGCUAGGGCCUCCGGUUUCAGUUGGAACCACCUGUCAGCUCAAGCUGACCCACUAAACCCUGGACUGGAAACCAAUUAGAUCCAGAGCUCAUCGCCAAGAGAGCCCAGCUCCCAACUGAGAGAGACUUACCCAUGGCCUUCAGAAAUGGUGAGAAAGACAGUGAACUCAAAAAAGGGUUCGCAGGUACCACGCCUAUCAGCAGUCUGCUUCAAUCUGCAAUGGCCACCAAAUCUGUUAAACAGCAAUUGAAGUGAUCACAUUGGCUUUACUGAACAACUCGUGAAUCGGGCAGCUUCCCACCUAACAAACAAAAAAAGGCUCCAUCCAGCUAUAGAAAAUGAAAGGUUUGAAAAGGCAGAGAGGAAGCCGGAAAAGGAAGUAAUUAGCAGAGUGUAUUGUUUUAGGCAAGGGAAAUGGAAUGGGUCUAUCUGUAAAUUUCCUAGUACUGCCCAGGAAAUUCUAGGUUGACUAGUUAGAGGUCACAUUCCUGGGAGGGGUCAAAACUGCAGUAAGGAUAGGUGUCAGGUCUGGAUUUGCUGAUGUGGGGCCUUAACCUAAGUGACUCCAUUUUGGGCCUGUGGUUUUUCUUUUCAUUUUUUUUUUUAAGAUUUUAUUUAUUUAUUUGACAGACAGAGAUCACAAGUAGGCAGAGAGGCAAGCAGAGAGAGUGGGGGGAAGCAGGCUCCCCACUGAGCAGAGAGCCUGAUGCACGACUCGAUCCCAGGAUCCUGAGAUCAUGACCUGAGCCGAAGGCAGAGGCUUAACCACUGAGCCAUCCAGGUGCCCUGUGGUCUUUCUUUUUAACAGUGGCGACAGUGGCUCUCUCAGGGGAUGUCAUGCAGACAACUGAGAUGAAAGAGUGCUCAGUGCUUGGCAUGCAGUCAGCACUCCCCAGGCCUAAACUCACCAUCACCACACGUAGAUUCCAAGGAGCCCCAUUGUAAUUUGUGUGCUGAACAACGAAAGGGAGUGUCACUCACCUGGAUUGUCAUGUGAGCCCUCCCCAAACCCAGAGUUCUGCCAUAUGACAGCUGCCCAGUAUGCAAGGAGUGAGAUGGAUUACAAAACAUUUAAUAAAUAUAUCUAAGGAACAUACACAUCCAACACGUAUGCAAGCCUGCAUUCGUCACCAUCCUCCACAUCCACAAUCUAAACAGAAGUGCCCCCCGCAGCCACACCUGGGGCCAGCUGCUCCCUCCUCCUGCCUGCCAAAUCAGCAUCAGCUCUCACCUUUUCUCCAGCCCCUUCAGACUCCAUCUUCAUCUGCCUUCUCCCUCCACCUAACACCCCAGAACACCGUUCCCACUUUGUCCUCGCUGUCUUUUGAGGAUAUGUCACCACACUUCCUGCUCUUCUCUUCUGGCCUUCAGUGUGGGUAGCUUCCUCUCUUCAGAGCACGGGGUACUAGUGUCCUGCUGGCGAAGCCCAGGCCCCUGCUGCCUGCAACCCGCACAGCUCAUGCUGGGUGGUCUCAACCGAGGCUGUGCGACAAUCGAGACCUCACACCUUGAUGACUAACCGCCAUUCUCCACAGCUGCUGCCCCCAUUUCCUUCAGAACCCCCUCCCUGGCCUCCCAUUUUUCUGGAAAGAUUAGGCCACAUCUGAGGCAAACCCUUAGCCCAACUUCUCAGGUCCCUCAGAAUAGCACAAUAGCUUCGUCCUCCAGUUUCUGAGAAAGUGGGGUCUCAAGUGUGCCAUGUGCAACCACGUGGAUGGAUUCUGAGGGCAUGAUGCUAAGUGAGACAAAUCAGACGACAACAGACAAAUACUAUGGGAUCUCACUAAUAUGUAGAAUCUAAAAACAAAACAAAAAGGCAAAAAAAAAAAAAAAAGAA
This is a long non-coding RNA of Mustela lutreola (European mink), 2608 nucleotides long. RefSeq lists it as uncharacterized. The transcript has 2 exons. The record is from RefSeq and is a predicted model, not a curated record. Lineage: Eukaryota; Metazoa; Chordata; Mammalia; Carnivora; Mustelidae.